CUUGAUCAACUAUAAGAGGUCAAGCCUGCCCAGUGACAUUGUUCAACGGCCGCGGUAUCCUAACCGUGCGAAGGUAGCGUAAUCACUUGUCCUUUAAAUAAGGACUAGUAUGAACGGCUUCACGAAGGCUAUACUGUCUCCUUAAUCUAAUCAAUUAAACUAAUCUCCCCGUGAAGAAGCGGGGAUUCGUCUAUAAGACGAGAAGACCCUAUGGAGCUUUAAACAUCUAAGACACUUGAUUAUAUCUACUAAACUUCAUGCAACCUAUCAUUUUGUCUUAAGUUUUAGGUUGGGGUGACCACGGAGAAAAAUUAAACCUCCACGUAGAAAGAAAAUUCUUUUCUAAGCAAAAAGCCACAUCUUAACGCAUCAAUAUAUUGACUUAAAUUGACCCAAUUUCUUGCUCAACGAAC
This 413-nucleotide ribosomal RNA is filed under the name Allobates femoralis group sp. ABGD cluster 9. Its description in RNAcentral is "partial large subunit ribosomal RNA". It matches the Rfam family "Bacterial large subunit ribosomal RNA", at positions 1834 to 2457 of the family's 2925-position model. The record is from RNAcentral. Lineage: Eukaryota; Metazoa; Chordata; Amphibia; Anura; Aromobatidae.